GACUUUUGGACAAUGGGGGCAACCCUGAUCCCGCCAUCCCGCGUGUGUGAAGAAGGCCUUUUGUUUGUCAACCUCUUUCAGCAGUAAAGAAGACUCCAUGCUUAAUACCCAUUGACGAUGAGACUAACUGCCGAAUAAUCACCGGCUAACUCUGUGCCAGCAGCCGCGGUAAUACAGAGGGUGGAAGCGUUAAUCGGAAUUACUGGGCGUAAAGCGAGCGUAGGUGGCUUGAUAAGUCAGAGGUGAAAAACCCGGGAUUAACAUGGGAACGGCAUCUGAAACUGUUAGGCUAGAAUAGGUGAGAGGAAGGUAGAAUUCCAGGUGUAGCGGUGAAAUGCGUAGAGAUAUGGAGGAAUACCGAUGGCGAAGGCAGCCUUCUAGCAUCAUAUUGACACUGAGGUUCGAAAGCGUGGGUAGCAAAC
This 422-nucleotide ribosomal RNA is filed under the name uncultured bacterium. Its description in RNAcentral is "partial 16S ribosomal RNA". It matches the Rfam family "Bacterial small subunit ribosomal RNA", at positions 359 to 773 of the family's 1533-position model. The record is from RNAcentral.